This is a long non-coding RNA of Labrus mixtus (cuckoo wrasse), 1518 nucleotides long. RefSeq lists it as uncharacterized. The record is from RefSeq and is a predicted model, not a curated record. NCBI's taxonomy places the organism in Eukaryota, Metazoa, Chordata, Actinopteri, Labriformes, Labridae. The transcript is spliced from 2 exons.
UGCUGAACUUCAGUUAAAGCAUUAAAGCAAGUUGUGGUUUACACAUCUGGUUGGAGGGAAACUCCCACACUCAAAGCCUUUUCAUCAGAAACAAUCCGCCUUCUUUGUUCGAGAUUGAUUUGAGAACCUCUUCUUAGAUUUAAAGCCAUAAACGCUGUCUACCUGUCAUUGUGAGUAAAGCACAAAACAUAAAUACAGGUAAUGCAAUUUUUACAAAAUGUAAACAGGAAAUUCAUUGUGGUUUUAAAGUUUUGAUUCCUCCCCGAUGUGUCCUCAUCAGAGAGAAGAGAGAUGCCACCACCUGGAGGACACUUGAGGAACAACAGACUUCCUCUUAAGAAUCUAAAGAUGCACUGAGUCUUUCUGUGUGUUUAACAGGAAGAAAAUCAAACACUGUCACACACCUGGAGUCAAAAAAGGUUCCAUCGAGGAGGCUGCCGUUGUAGUGGUAGCGUACAAAGUCUCCGGUGACCGUCUUCCUCGUGCAGGACUCGGGCACCUUCUGAUUCGUCACUGUGAUCCCAUCUCUGGGGUUGUGGAGGUCCAGAAGUACAACGUCGAACACCAGAGACGCCUGUCCUGGGAUGUCGCUACCUGAAGCAGAGAAAAGGAAGACAUGUUGAAGUCAACAAGGAGUCAAGUAUGGGUUUAGAUGAAGGAGAGGUGUAUUGCUAAUAAUGUAUUAUGAAGCCAUUGUUUUAAUGUUUGGAUUAAUUCAUUAUCUUUUGCCAAAGACUAAAUGAGAAGAUCACUGACACUUUCAUGGUGUACUGUAAAAAAUUAUGCUACUGCCCUAACUUGAUUAGUUAGCUUAGCACAAACACUGGAUUUAGCUAACCUGACAUUGUCCAAAGGUUACAAACCACAUCAACCAGCAUCUGUGAAGGUCAUUUAGAGUUAUAACUGCAUCUGCACAAUAACAACAAGUUUUUUUUAUGAAGUUAAGGACCACUGCUCAGAUACCGAACAGUCACUUCCCAACUUAAAAAAUAGUCCCAAAGUAAAACAGAAAAUCCCCAUUUUUGCACUUAUGGCUUUGUACAGAUCUGUGCGACUUUUAUGCACCCCCUAUAAGUGAAUGUUUGAACACCUCCUUUGACAUAUGCAACCAAACAUCUUAAUUAGCGUUAGACAUGUUUGUAACAAGAAAGCAAGGCUGGCUGUUUCCCUCUUUUUCAAGCGUUUGUGCUAAUCUAGGCUAACAUGCUGCAAACAAGAACAAAAACGAGAACAAAUGUUUUCCCAAAUUUUGAACUAUUGUUUUAAACAAUUCAUGCAACCAUGUAAAAAGCCUCUUCUACAUUUCAGGAUGUAAGUGAUCAGGGAGCAAUUUAGAGAAGACUCUACUUUUUACCUACUGUUUUAACCUAAAAUUGUAUUGCCUUCUUAACAUUUUUUUUUUUAUCAUUUGUUAUUAUCUUGUGAAAUGUUUGAAAUGCUUUUUGUGCCUGUGUGAACCUCUUUGAAUUGCCUGGUGUCUGAAAGGUCCUAUAUAAAUAAACGCUUGCUUUGCCUAAA